Molecule: long non-coding RNA, 1088 nt
Filed under: Lonchura striata (white-rumped munia)
Lineage: Eukaryota; Metazoa; Chordata; Aves; Passeriformes; Estrildidae
Description: domestica (Bengalese finch) lncRNA (ENSLSDG00000005915.1)
Source: RNAcentral
UUCUUUCCUUUUUUCUUUUUCCCUUUUUUCUUUCCUUUUUUCUUUUUCACUUAUUUUCCCUUUCUUUCCUUUCCUUUUUUUUCUGUCCUUCCCCUUUUUUUUUUCUUUUUCCAAUAUUUUAUUUUUCUUUUCCCUUUUCUUUCUUCCUGGUAUUUUUUUUAUUUUAAAGUUUUUUUCUUUCUUUUUGGCUGAAACCCUCUUUACCAGGCAGCCUCACUAAUUCCAUCUCUUUCUGCUCCAAGAUGACAGAGAGGAAUCAGAAUCCCAGCCUGGUUUGGGCUGGAAGGCUGAGUUUUAAGGCAUUUGGACUUAGAGGAAUAGCAGAUUCUCAAGGCCAGAGCUCCCAGUGUGUCCUGGUUUGGACUGAUCUUCAGAAGCGGGUGUGCCAGCUGCUGGACACCAUUCCCCGGGAGGCUGGUGCCCAGCUCGUGAGCUGUGCCAUGGACGUGGAUUCCAGGCAGAAACUCCCCCCUGACUCUGCUCCCUGGGCUGCAAGGACAAAGCAGAAUUCCGUGAUUUUGGAAAAUCAUGGGAGCAACGGCAUUUCCCAGCCCUGCCCAAGAUGUGUUGCUGGAGAAUCUGGCCACUUCAGUCACAUCCUGGGCUUCUAGAGGAGGAGAGGGGCCAGAGGAGCAGCUCUGAUUCCUGCUGGGAUCACAGGGUGCAGCUGGUCCUGCCCUGCCCUGCUGCCAUCCGGGCACCACUGCUGCCACCCUACACCUGCCCAAAAUGCUUCUGCUCCUCGGGUGCCUCAGAACUGGUCCAAAAAGGACAAGGAGAGGCUGAUUUCAUGUUUAGGUAAAUGAGAAUUUGUUUUAAAAGAACAUGGAGAGGCUGAUUUCAUGUUUAGGUAAAUGAGAAUUUGUUUUAAAAGAACAUGGAGAGAUUGAUUUCAUGUUUAGGUAGCUGAGAAUUUGUCCAAAAGAGACAAGAAAAGGCAGAUUUCAUGUUUAGCUCAGAAUUUGUACAUAAAGGACAAAAAAAAUUUUGAGUUUAGGUAGCUCAGAAUUUGUUGUUCAUAAAGGGUAAGAAAAGGCAGAUUUCCUGUUUAGGUAGGUCAGAAAUUGUUUUAAAAGGACAAGAAAAUG